UUUUUGUUAUUAUUAUUAUUAUGGGAUCAGGGAUUUAAAUCUAUAGCACUGUACACCAGUUCAGGUUGUUAAAUUAGCGUUGAUAAAUUUGGCAUUUAGGCUGCUGUCCGUGGUGCUGAUCACAGGCUGGUUUGCAGUGUGGGAGUUGCAUGGUGCAAGAUUUUAGUAAUAUCAGCAUGAUAUCUCUGCUUUUAGCACACUUUGCCAGAUGUGUAACGUUAUUACAAAAAGUUGUAUAUAUAGGUAAAGCUUGACUCAUGCAGAACUGUGUCAAUACUUGAACAUUUUCUGCAUACAUGUGGAUCACCUUACACCCGCUUUUUAUUUACUUUUCUCUGAAAACUUUAUGAAUUGAUAAAGUUGUCACAGAGAGAGAGAGAGAGAGAGAGAGA
Sebastes umbrosus (honeycomb rockfish) is the source of this 392-nucleotide long non-coding RNA. RefSeq lists it as uncharacterized. The transcript is spliced from 2 exons. Lineage: Eukaryota; Metazoa; Chordata; Actinopteri; Perciformes; Sebastidae. The record is from RefSeq and is a predicted model, not a curated record.